Molecule: RNA transcript, 2874 nt
Organism: Homo sapiens (human)
Lineage: Eukaryota; Metazoa; Chordata; Mammalia; Primates; Hominidae
Gene: ARHGAP27P1
Gene name: Rho GTPase activating protein 27 pseudogene 1
Exons: 3
Source: RefSeq, marked validated
GCGCGGGACGCCGAGCCCACGCGCGCCUGCCGGGACAAGUGGAGACGAGGCCGGCGAGCGGACGCCCCGAGGUGCCCGGGCAGGCAGUGGGCCGCCGAGCGGGAGUUGAGGUUGGCGAAGGAGCUGUGGCCGGGUCCCCUUCUUAUCCAGCCCGAGACACUGCGCUCCGGUGGGCGUCCCUGCGCUGGGAAUCCCUCUCGGAGUUUUUCCAGGCCCGGCCGGGUUGCUCCGGGAAAGGCCCUGUUGGGGGAGGUGGGCCCGGAGCUGGCAGGUCUACAAUCCGGUUGGAAGGGCUCGCAGUGGGUGAUUCAGGGUGCCAAUGACCUCCCCGCGAACGGGAACGCCCGCACUAGACAACCAGCCCCAGACCGGCAUUCCCAGAGCCGCAGGCGGGAGGGACGCAGGGACUCCGGGACAGCAAAUCCCCGGGGGAGAAGGGAAGGGGGAAGGCGGGACAGGGGAGGCCCACCCUCCUUGGGCUCCGCUAGCGACCAGCCAGCGCCCCUUCAGACGCAGCCUUCCUGGCUCCGGACCCCGGCUUUCUGCUCCGGUCCUCGUCCCAAUGCCCCCCAAGGUCCCCAGCAGAGGCAUUCAGGUUCCUCCUCGCCCCGCCCAGACGCAGCUUCUUUGGGUAUGGGUGACAGCACUCCUGAGCGUCGCUGUCCCUAUUCGCUGCCGUUGCCAGCUCCGAUUCCGCGAAACCUCUCCGGCACCACCUCGGAAGCCCCGCCCAGGGCGAUGGUCCGGGCCUAACCUGCCGGCCCCGCCCACCCGGCCCUUGGGCUCCCUGAGGCCCGCCCAGCAGACUCGAGGAACGCUUGACAAAGUGGCGAAGGAGCCCUACGGGAGUCCCGGAUUGGACCCUGCUCCUUCGGUCCCUCAGCCUCGGCAAGCCGCGGUCUCCUGGCCCUUGGCCUGGGUCACCUUAGGAGGCAGGAGGAGAUGUGGUCAGUGUGGGAGCUUGGAGGGGCCAUGCACUUCCGGAGAAGACCACCGACUCAUGGCUUUGGUGGAGGGGCGCCGGCAGAUUUAGUUAAGCUCUCCCCCAUCCCUGACACACCCAGCCGGGGCGGGAGCGGGGCUUGUGACCACUCCGGAGAGCUUUGAGGGCCCCUGCUUUGGGACUCCGCACGGACAGUCACUGUCUCAGAGUGCAUUCUCCAGGGGCCACUCUCUUGGGGACACUGUAGGGGUCACAGGGCAGGUGGGCAGCCUCUCUCGGGGGGCGGCGUGAGAGCCGGAGAGCAGGGGGCGGGGGCGGGCCCGGCUCGGGCUCACGUCUGCGUUGAAGCCGCUGGGGAAGGGGAGAGAAACCGAGAGAACCGGUUCCCCCGCCUUGACAGCGGAGGCCCCCACACCAAGGCCCUUGGACUAAGCGGGGCAGGGACAGCCUCCAGGUAGAGCUGUUCGCCGGGGCGCCUGCAGAGCCCGCAUCCCAACCCUGACCCCGGGGCCGGGGCGCAGGCUCCUGGAGGGAGGCGUCCAGGCGGGACAGGGCCCGGGGAGCGGCAGGAAAUGGGCUGCUCUUCCCACUUGACUGACGGGAAAACUAAGGCACGGUCAACUAUCAAGCAAGCGUGGUGUCGACCUUAGAGCAGGUAAUCACCCCUCGUUUUAAAGCCAAAGUUUCCCUCGCAGUCGAUUUGGACCAAGACUACCCACAAUCUCCCCACCGCAGGACUGAAGCGAGGCUGAAAUCUUAGAAUCAACCCCACGGAAUGAAGAGGUUGUCCUAAUUCCAGCACUGAGUGUAAGAAUGGAAGCCUUGCAUGUGAUUUUAUUCAAGUCCUCAUUUUAGAAAUGGGAAAACUGAGGCCCGAAGGCGAACGGCAAGUGCAGCAUCGGGACUCGAACCCAAGUCUCUCCUCGAGUGCUGGGCUAUUCCGGGCUCAGUGGUCUUGACUUCCGCGGCCCUCUUCCUUGUUGCCUGCAGGAAAAUGCCGCGGCCGCAAUGGCGGCGGAUGUGGAGGGGGACGUGUACGUACUGGUGGAGCACCCCUUCGAGUACACCGGCAAGGACGGGCGCCGCGUGGCCAUCCCGCCCAAUGAGCGCUACCGGCCGCUGCGGCGCAGCACAGAGCACUGAGCAUUGGUGGCACGUGCGGCGCAAGCCCGGCGGCCGCCCCUUCUACCUGCCCGCGCAGUACGUGCGCGAGCUGCCUGCGCUGGGCAACCCUGCCGCUGACGCGCCGCCAGGUCCCCCCAUCGGGACCCGCAGCCCCUGAGCCGCUCGCCUACGACUACCGGUUCGUGAGCGCGGCUGUGGCAGCGGCCCCCAACGGCCCCCCAGCGGAGCCCCGAGGCGGGGCCAGCUCCCUGUGCGGCCCUGCGCAGCGCGGCGCCGCGAGCCAGCGCAGCAGCCUGGCGCCCGGCCUGCCCGCCUGCCUGUACCUGCGGCCCACGGCGCCCGUGCGGCCCGCGCAGUCCCUGGACGACCUGACGCGCGCCGUCGUCUCGCCUCCCGCCGGCAACCUCGGAAGCAGCGGCAGCUUCAAGGCCUGCAGCGUAGCGGGCUCCUGGGUGUGCCUGCUGCCCCUGUCGCGCAGCGACUCAGAGAACGUCUAAGAGGCCAUCCAGGAGGUACGCGGCCCGCCGCGGUAGGAGAUCGUGAAGCAGGUACGACCCCGGGCGCGGAGGCGGGGAGGCUCGCUGAGGACAGCGCCCGCAGGGAGCCUGGGCUCGAGGAGACCCACUCCGCUCAGCGUCGGGCAUGACGCCCACCUCUGUCGGAAGACUUCGGAUGAGCUCCCUCUCCCCAGCCGCGAAACAGUGCAGGCCCCCAUCCCUCAUCUGCAAUUUCCAGGCUCCAAAGCUCCCUGGAAGCCCGAAAGAUUUUUCGUAAUCAAAUUGGUGGCAAAAUUGCGCUUGAACUGA